RNA transcript from Pygocentrus nattereri (red-bellied piranha), 4875 nucleotides. It is a transcript of the gene named signal transducer and activator of transcription 2, with no coding region annotated. The transcript is spliced from 31 exons. NCBI's taxonomy places the organism in Eukaryota, Metazoa, Chordata, Actinopteri, Characiformes, Serrasalmidae. The record is from RefSeq and is a predicted model, not a curated record.
CAUGCGGAGAGGAGAGCGUUAGGAUGCGAGCGCAGACCGAGGACUGAGAACUGUUUGUCUUCCUUGUAUAAACGACAAUAUGAUGGUCGACCUUGAUUAGCGUGAUUUGGGUUUUGAUAGUUCACACGAGCGGAAUGUAGUGUCCGUGCAGUGUCUGCAGGUGCUUUGGUCAGUUAAGAUUUGUUCGAGCUGCCAGCUAACGUUCUUCGCUGUCUCAGGUCUCAGGAUGUCGCAGUGGGAGCGCUUGAAGCAGCUCGACUCGGUAUGUUUGCAGAGGGUGGAUGAGUUGUAUUGCAAAGAAGAGCUGCCAAUGGCGGUGAGAGACUAUCUGGCUCAGUGGAUAGAGGACCAAGACUGGGAAGGUGCAUCACGGGACACAUCCAGGGCAGUGGUCCUGUUUCAGGUUUUGCUGGAGAAUCUAGACAAUCAGUAUAGCCGUUUCGUCCAGGAAAGGUCCUUUCUCAUGCAGCGCAACUUCAGACGCUUCAAACAGAACUUUCAGAGGUACCAAGAAGAUCCAUGUACAUUGGCUGAAAUCAUCAACUGGUUCCUGACCAGUGAGAGAGAGAUUCUACAGGCUGCAGAGCUAGCACAAAAAGUGCAGAUGUUGCAGGUCCAGCAGAAUUCUAUGGAGUCAGAGAGUCAGAGACACAUAGAGAAGAAUGUCAGAGAGUUUAAGAACAAAAUUCAGAUGAUGGAGCAUUCAUUACGAUGCCUGGAGGAGCAACAAGAUGAAUUUGACUUCAAAUACCAGACACACAGAAUGGAUGGUACAACAGAUGAAGCAGAAAAAAAAGAGCAGAUAAAAGGACUGCAAGUGAUGCUCAACAUGCUGAAUAUCUCCAGAACGACUUUUCUCACAGAGUUGUCAUCUCUGUUGGAUUCUGCUGCAUCAAUCCUGGCUUCGCUUAUAGAGGAGCUUGAAGAUUGGAAACGCAGGCAGCAAGUCUCAUGUAUUGGUGCUCCUGAAGACAUAAAUCUAGAACCCCUGGAGAAAUGGUUCACACAGGUGGGAGAAGGGAUGUUUCAACUGCGCAAGUUUCUGGAAAAGCUGCAAGAGCUGCAUGAUAAGAUGACUUAUGAGGCAGAUCCCAUCAAAGAUCAAAAACCCAGCCUGCAUGUGCGAGUGGAUGCUCUGUUAACCGCCCUACUGAAGAGCGCUUUCAUUGUGGAAACGCAGCCGUCUAUGCCCCAGGGUCGAGGCCCUCUAGUACUACGUACAAAUGUUCAGUUCUCACUCAAAACCAGAUUGCUGUUUAAGGUGCCUGAACUCAACCAUUCUAUGAAAGUGACUGUGUCAAUUGACAAGGAUCCUCCAAAAGUGAAAGGGUAUCGCAAGUUCAAUGUUCUGGGAACGUCUACUAAGGCCCUGAACAUGGCUGAGAGCCUGCAUGGUGGUAUGGUGGCAGACUUCAGACAUUUGACUCUGAAAGAGCAGAAGGCUGGAGCAGGAGGAAAGGGGAUCAGUGAUCUGUCUUUGAGUGUGACUGAGGAACUCCACACUUUACACUGUGACACACAGUUUGACCUGCAUGGCCUCUCUGUCACUCUGGAGGCCUCCUCUCUCCCUGUAAUUGUGAUCUCUAAUUCCAGCCAGCAGCAAAGUGCAUGGGCAUCUGUCCUUUGGUUCAACACACUCUGCACUGACCCCAAGAACCUGAUGUUCUUCGCAAGCUCUCCUGUAGCAUCCUGGAGUCAGCUUGGGCAGAUGCUGAAUUGGCAGUUUCUGUCGUGUGGUAAACGUGGUCUGGAACAAGACCAGCUGGAGACUCUCGCUCAGAAACUCUUUGGUAUACAACAGAAUUAUGACAAUUGUAAAAUAUCUUGGACCAAGUUCAGUAAGGAGAACUUCAGUGGCACAAAUUUCACCCUCUGGGUAUGGCUGGAUGGAAUUCUAAACUUGGUCAAAAUGUACCUUGCAGAUUUGUGGCAGGAUGGGUCUAUCAUGGGUUUUGUAAGUAAGGGAAAGGAGAAGGUCUUGUUGAAGAAGAAACAGAGUGGGACUUUUCUCCUGCGUUUCAGUGAGAGCUGCAGAGAUGGUGGCAUCACAUUCAGCUGGGUGGAGUACUCUAACAGUGGUGAACCCAAUGUGCGGGCAGUGCAGCCGUUCACCAGCACGGACCUGAAGCAGAUCCCCCUUGCAGAAAUCCUGCGUAACUUUCAGAUCAUGGAAGCAGACAAUGCUCCAGUAUACCCACUUCAGUUCCUCUAUCCAAAUACCCCCAAAGACCAGGCAUUUGGAAAAUACUACAAUGAGAAGACUGGAGUGGAGAGUCCAUACUUUAAAUACAUUAAAACCAAGCUGGUCUUCGUUUCAAAAGAGAACGGGUGUACAAACAUGGCUGAGGGGCCAGUGUCUGACCUGUGCAUGCAGCACAAUGACCUUUCUUCUGAACUAAAUCAAGACGUCAUGCUUCAAGGGCCAGAGAAUUCACCCAUGUACAACUGCACAAGUGACCCUAUUUUACCCAACGGGGUUCUGGAGAGCUCUUUAAGUUGUCCACAAGAAGAAUUUUCAGGUGCACUGAGGUGUGCUCAGAGUUUACAUGACUUACCUGAAGGUCCUCUGAUGAGUGUUCCCAUAGAUGAAUCCCUUCUGGGAAUCAUUCCAGACGCAUUUUCUCCUGAUGCUGAUAUACCUGCGCUGCAAGAGUUUCUUAAUGACCCGAACAUCCUGGAAGGGUUAAGUGGUCCUCUGGAUCAUUCCUUCCAAGAGCUGGUUUAUCCCCUGCCCUUGGAAAGUGCAGAAGUAUUCAUUCCUGAAAUCGUUAAGAGCCAUUUAGGAGAUGAGAAGAGUGAGACGUACAGGUUUCUGUGCCCUUAUGCUGGUCAGUUUCAGUGUAAAUUGACCAACCUUGUUUUUGACAUGGAGGGGGAAGGGGAGGUUCUGUACAAAAUAGUCUCCUGGGAUAUUCGUCUGUUGGAUGGUUUAGGCCAGAUGCAGCCUGCAGGACCCCUGUAUGAUAUUGACUGCACUCAAGGUUCACUUAGUUAUCUGCACCUCCCACACUGCGAGAUACUUCAUGAGAAAAAUCCAGUUGAGCAGUCUGUGGCACAUUUCACUGGUGACAAUAUAGAGAUCAUGUCAUCGGUAAGAGUGACAGACAUGCAUGUGGUUAUUGGCAUCCAAAGCCUCUCUCUUUUUGGCCUUCUAAAAAACAUGAUAUUUGAAACCAGUCCCAUCAAUGCCCAAGUGCUACUGUUCCACAAGGAAAUGCCUGGCAGGAAAAAACUGCACAUCCACUUGUUGCCAGUGAACGUACCAGUUGAAGAGGUAGGAAAAAGGCACAAAGACAGCAUAUAUUUUGAGACAAGCUCCACAUGUCAACUGACCCCUGGUAGAAACUACAAACUGUCCUGUGACCCUUAUGUAUCGCAGCCAAAGGUUGGCAGAUUUGACUAUGACUAUGGCCCCAACUAUCAUCCUACAUUUGUGGUGUUCCUUCAUGCUGACUAUCUUACUGUAAGCCUUAUGGAUGAAGAUGGCACUGAGAUUUGGGAGCCACAUGAUAUCUUUCUUACCUUUAAAAAAGCUUGUGAAACAAGGCAUCUCGUAAAUACUCUUUGUGGAUGAAGUUCACAAGAAAUCCACUAGAAAUCUGACUGGUCAUUGAGUUCAUGUGUAAAUACAUCAAAUGUUAAAUUAAAAAAAUCCAGCUAUAUUUUAGUGGCACACGGCAUGUUCUAUGAGCUAUGAGCAUGUUCAUGCUGUUUCUAAUAGUCUCAUGUAAUUAGCUUUAGACCAUAGGAGACCCUAGAGAAGGUUGCACUUUGGAGGCCUUCAUUUGCCUUCUUACUGCUUUUGCUCUACACUCUAUAGCUUAAGUUAAAGGAUGUAAUAUGAUGAUUAGAAGAACUGCACUUUUACAGCAAACUAUAGUUGAGGCAGAUAAUGCGGAACAUUGUAGAGAAAGAAAAUUGUACAGAGUAAAAUGACUAAUAUUGGCGUACCUGCAUCACUUGCAGCUGCUCUUUUUAUGUGCUGUUCUCCUGAACCAUCGUAACAUUGUUAUUGUUGUUAUUAUUAUUAUUAUUAUUAUUAUUAUUAUGUGCUGCCAAGUUGAUUCUGAAUCCUGGCAACCAAUUUGGAUCUCCAGAAUAUCCUGUCUUCUAUUUUAGCCUUUGGACUUCUAAACAUUAUUGCAUCUUGGCUGGAGGGGGUUGGGCCCUAAGAGGCCCAUGUAGAAAUGCUUUGCCUUGGACUCAUCAUCUCAUCUUACCUUAAGAGAGUGGGGGCCCACCUUAAAUCAGUGAUGGUAAUUAGUUUUAAAACCAGUGACACCCAAUUAACAUAUGCAGUAAGAAAAAAUUAUUCAUUUGCUCUUUUUGUUGGAAACCCAAGGCCAGUGGUCACCAAUGCUGCUCCUGGAGAUCUGCCUUCCUGCAGAGCUCAGCUUCAUCCUUAAUCAACCCCACCUGAUCAAUUUAAUUGGUCUCUCCAGAAGUCCUUGAUUAGCUGAAAGAGGUUUGUUGGAUUUGGGUUGGAAGUGAAACCUGCCUAGAAGUUAGAUCUCCAGGAGCAGGAUUGGUGACCACUGCUCUAGGCAACUGCCUAUUGUGCCUGUAGCUCACACUGGCCCUGCAUUUCUUUUUUCUUUUUUUUUUUACUAUUUUAUUGCCAGUUAAGGUUAAAAUGGGUGUGGAAAUAUGUUUGAAGGUGCUCAUACACAAAACUUUGUUCCCACUAAAAAAAUCGUAGUAGGCAAUCAACCCAGUUUCAUUGCUUCAGGUCACAGCGCAGAGGCAACCCUGUAUGGAGUGGACACUGCGGCUGAGUUUAUAGAUAAACACAGAGAAAAGCUCAUUCAGAGAGUUUCCUCAGUACUGGAGAUUGCAGACUGCCUAAAAAGCAAAAAUAUGAUUAGUGAUGAAGAC